This 1742-nucleotide long non-coding RNA is filed under the name Betta splendens (Siamese fighting fish). Its description in RNAcentral is "lncRNA (ENSBSLG00000020563.1)". The record is from RNAcentral. Lineage: Eukaryota; Metazoa; Chordata; Actinopteri; Anabantiformes; Osphronemidae.
AGUAUAUUAUGUAACAUAUAUAAAAUAUUUUAAAGAAAUUUAACAAUUAAUUUUUUUUAAUUCAUAUUCAGAUCAACACAGUUUUAGAUGUGUUACGUUUCAGACAUGUGAUACGAGCUACGUUUGAUAGUUUGGUUGUGCUAUGGACAACCUUUAGUUGUGGAGAAUUUAUGUGUCGCGAUCCUGAUUCUGUAAUGUGAUUGGCUGAGAGGCGGAAGGAGGCGGGGAUUAAGGCCAAAAGGCAAAGGCGCACAGGUACGAGGCGUUGGAGAGGUUUAGAAACCGUCAAUUAAGAAGAAGUGUGUAUUUUACCAUGUUUAUGGUGCUUUUAAUUACUGUUUUCUACCGACUAACACAGCAAUGCGGAAGAAAAUUAUCAAAAUGGAGAUCUCCGAGGGAGAACGUCUAGCUUCACCGCGACGGGCGGACGGCUCCUGGUUCAGUUCAGCAUCAUCACACAGAGUUUACCCCGUCCCUGCACGUGCCGCGUUGGACGCUGACCUUGACCUCUCCAAUGAUUGAAGAGCAGGAAGUUAAGGCUCACCGGCGUGACGUGAUGAUGCUGAACACCAAUAAAUCAUUACAAGCAGACAAUACUGAAGAAUGUUCUGACAACAGCAGCAGGGACUUAUGGAGACUUGAGCAGAUGCUGAUGGACAGAAAACUACAAGCUGGGCCUGAGGGGAGGCUGCGAGCGAGGAGAGAGGGAGCCAGGAAUGCGAAAAGUGGGAGAGAUUGGUAGAAAGGGACACCUCGAUGGAGGCAGGGUGAGUGCUGGAGACAGGAGCGAUUCUGCAAAGGGAGUGCAAAACAAAUGAUUGAGGGACUAAAGGCAAAAAAGAAGGACUUUUCUUUCUUUUUGGAGUUCGCCUCAAUAAGGUCAAUUAAGAGAUCUGACUUUACAUCAGUAUAAAUGAUUAAUUAUUGUGUGGAACUGUAACAUCUAUUGCCGCCAAUAAGUUAUUUGUCAUGUCUAUGUUCAGUUAUUUGAUAUUGUACUUUAAAAGAACUACAGUAUGGCUUCGAACAAAUCUCCUUUUCUGAAAGCUGUUACUGUAGAGUAGAUGAUGAAGCCCUAAAUAUAUAGUGACACCAGGCCAAAGUGAAGUCCAGUUACUACAGUUCAUUGCGUCCGGAUGCAGAACUUUUGUUAAAGUAACUUGUGAUGAACUCAUUAAUGCAGACUGGCUCCAGCAUCCAGGAUCUGCAACAACAUGUGUGUAGAGGUCCUGACCGGUGAGUCAUACAGUAUCAGCCUUACUUUCAGAGAGAGCCAGUGUGACUUCAUCCUGCUGCCGAGCGACAGGGAGCCACAUACGCCUCUGGUUCAGCACCACGGACAGCGCCUGUGACGGGCUUUAUAAACCACCAGGUCCAUCGUGUGCGUCGCCACAGAAGCCGCUUUCCUUGACACCCGUUCUCCACUUCAUCCUGGAGACCAGGAGGCCGGGGCUCACGUCAAGUCCCUUCACUUGGUUUUGGUCUUUUUUCUACUAACUAGACUUUAGAGCUUUGUCUUCAGGUGCAGCUCCCUCUUCACGAUGCCAGUCCUGUGCAGCCGCUGCAUCGCUGCAGGGCCUCUUGUUGAUCUGACCCUCCAUCUUGACCCGCUCUAGUGCAUAAUGUCCUGAGACGGGACCGUCGUCUGGGGACAAACCAGCGCCUUUCAGGAUUCCUGCAAAUCCCUAGAAACGCGGUUCCUCAGACUUAUAGAUUCAUUUUGCUGCCGCUAAAACCAGCUG